RNAcentral lists this unclassified non-coding RNA (334 nucleotides) under soil metagenome. Its description in RNAcentral is "partial contains 5.8S ribosomal RNA, internal transcribed spacer 2, and large subunit ribosomal RNA". The stretch from base 1 to 120 matches the Rfam family "5.8S ribosomal RNA", at positions 35 to 154 of the family's 154-position model. The record is from RNAcentral.
GAUGAAGAACGUAGCGAAAUGCGAUAAGUAAUGUGAAUUGCAGAAUUCAGUGAAUCAUCGAAUCUUUGAACGCACAUUGCGCCCGCCAGUAUUCUGGCGGGCAUGCCUGUUCGAGCGUCAUUUCAACCAUCAAGCCCUGCUUGCGUUGGGGUCCUGCGGCUGCCCGCAGGCCCUGAAAACCAGUGGCGGGGUCGCUAGUCACACCGAGCGCAGUAAUACAUCUCGCUUUGGGCGUGCGGCGGGUUCUUGCCGUUAAACACCCCCUUUUUACCAAGGUUGACCUCGGAUCAGGUAGGAAUACCCGCUGAACUUAAGCAUAUCAAUAAGCGGAGGA